UCGCUGAGUUUUUUUCGUCAUACUCUCACCGUCGGUUUUUGUCGUCAUCCUACCACAUCUGCAUUACUCGAACGAAAAAACGGGCAAAGACAACCCUCCCUCGCACGACAGAAAUUUGGACGAAGAACGAACCAAAAAACCGGACGAAGCGGGAGCGAGCGCCCUCGCAGGAACCGAUCCAGGCCCCCUCCCAUGAGAAAAAAAACUGACGGAGGAGGCUACCCUCGAUCUAAUCGCUACAGCAACGGGAACCACGCCCCAGCCGCCAUCGCUGAUGCUUUCGCCGUUGCGGAUCCCUUUGCCGGCACCGAGGUGCCAGAGAAGCCGCGGCCGCCGUCGGGACGCCGCUGCCGAGAUCCUCCAUCGCCGCCCCGGCCCCGACCAUCCAGGUGCCGCCGACCCACGCACGCCGCCGCUCCACGCGCGUGGUCUGCCCCUCCACGCCUCCAUGCGCCGCUGCAGCCCACGCACGCCAUCUGCCCCUUUAAACCUCCACGUGCCGCCGAUGAGUUCGUCGUUGCCGACGGGGAGAGCGGGGGGAACAACCUCGGGGAGCGAGAGGCCGUCACCGGCCCCGGGAUUCGGCACCGCGCGACCGUCAUCGACGCAGUCCGGAGGUACCAAGUCUGCUACUCGUACCGACAUGUUGGUCGACGUAGGAAUGGUAGCUGGCUGUGAUAAUCUUGAGGUUCCACGACAUGUUGGGAAUGGAAGUGCAUCCCCCGCGAAAGGCACACAGAGGAAAUUUGUUGUUGAUGCAACCAAAGGUGCAUCACCAGGUGUUAAUGCAAGUAACACUGGGCAGCACCUGCAUUACCGCAGAAAAGGUAAUGGUCCUGGGAAACAUGCAAAGCUGGAAGACAACAAAGGUGCUACUAGGUUGGGGAGAGAUCAGACACCAAUCGGCGUAUUUGAAGAUGAAUGGGUUUUCUGCCAUUCAUUUAGAACCAGUGAUCCGUGUCAUGGUCCGAUGGUCCGAUGGUACUGUAUCACAAUAGAAGGAUUGUGCCCAGUGACGAGGGCAACCCUACCAACGCCAUCUAUGUCCACGAGAAAUGCAUGGUUUGGGCCCCAAAAGUGGAAUCCAAUGGUGAUACUUUUAAGAAUGUGGAGAGUGAAAUCAAUCGUUCUAAAAGAUUGAGAUGCAGAAGAUGCAAACUCCCGGGAGCAGCACUUGGUUGUUAUGACAACUCCUGCAGAAAAAGUUAUCAUGUCCCAUGUGCAAUGAUGAUACCAGAAUGCCGCUGGGAUGAAGAAAUGUAUUUUUGAUCUCAGCUUCUAAUGAUGAAAAGAAGUAGUCAAGAAUAAAAUUUGAUGUCCUUUGGCACCUUACAAGAUGAUAAACAUCAACACUGAUGUUCUGUUGUUCUGAUAACUGCAAAAUAGGAACGCAUGCAUCAAUGGGCAUGAAGGGCGUGGGUUGAAGACCAAUUAUUCUACAUUGUUUGGUCUAUUUAAAGAACAUCGCUGGUCUCUUCAAUGGCAAUCAGUACUCAUUGGUGUUAUCAGGCAUUCAAUCAGAGGUGCGGCAUGCUUCUGACAUCAACGACGUCGCCAACAACGUUUAUCAGCACAAUUCGGCCACCGGUCCUACCGUUCUGCAAACUUGGAUCUCUGGCAAAAACUGAAAAUUUCUUUUUGGGUUAAGCACUAUUGAUUUGUGGUGGUAAAUUCUUUUGGCAAGGAAACUUAAAUAUAUUGUAAUGUGAGUAUCUCGACUGGCAUUGAGGAUUAAGAACUUUAACUAUGCCGCCACAUUUUGUAGGCACUAUAACUACCAUUCUAGGCAUGUAUAUGCAUGGUAUUCUAUGCAGAAUUUGUUUGCUCAUAUACAAGGAAUACUCACUACAUUAUGAGACAAAGUUUAUUAUGGACUGGUAAGAGUUUACUGAUGAUUCAUCCUAUCAUCCUUAGAUACAAAGAUUAAGGUGUACACACUCCAAACACUCAUGUUUGGCAUGUUCCACGCAACACACCUGCUCCAUGAAACAACAACAUUGGUCGAGGCUGAAGCACAGGAAGAAGCAGUGUGGGCAUCGCCACAUCCUGUGCGUGAUCGUUUCCACUCUGCCACAUGCGAUGCAGAACACCCCAGGUUUGACAUGUCGUCGCAGUAGUUCAUCACCAACAGCCAACCCAUUUUUUAACAUCCGCCAGCCAUGUAUUUUAACUUUGUUUGGGACAUCCGCGGCCCAUAAUUCCAUCCAACUCUUAUGAUCCGCAACCGAGCUGGACGAGGAGGCCAGUGCCUUUCUCGCCGUCUUCAGGGUCAUCCCCAGAUGGUAGGCCGAUCUCACGGUGAAGAUCCCAUUUCUGGUAUAGUUCCAGGCCCGGAAAUCUUCUUUGCCCGGUCCCCCCACUACUAUCUGUCUAAUAUCUUGGGCAUCAGACGGAGUGAACACAGCCUGCAGUUUUCCUUCGUCCCAGGCCGUUCCGUCCUCCGAGAGUAGGUCAGCCACCUUGAUCGUAUUCGGUACGUAGUUGGCACCUAGAGGAGUCAUGCUUCCAUUGCGGGGUAUCCAAUUGUCAUGCAACACGUUGAUCUUCGUUCCAGGCCCGGAAAUCUUCUUGUGCUGAUUCAAUUCUAUCACGUAAACAAUAAGUAAUAAAGAAUUCAGAAAUUACACCAUAUAUGUGAGAUCACUUCCUUAGAAGACAGGCAUAAGAUUUUUUUUCGAUAACCUUCCAUAAUAAAAUAAGAUAUUUGUUCAUAAAAAAAUGCUAAUCCACCGCGCUAUGUCAUUUAUUAUUAUCAUUAUCUCUACUAUUAAUUGACAGUCACAAGUUUCCUAUGGGCGUACCUAUCCGCGCGCUCCUGCGGAGGGACGUCGUGCACGACACCAUGGAAGAUGUCGUGGCCGGGCCUAACCCUGGCGCAAUGCUCGAGAAUGCCAGGGCGUGGAUCACGUCAUCGAGGACGACCGUGGCGGGAGGCGGGUCAUCAGACCGCCAUGUAGACGCGGUCACAUUAUAUUUCUUGACAGUCAAAUGGAGAGCCACAUGGCUACAUUCUCAAAUCAAGUGUGUCAAUUUAAAUGUCAAGAAAUUCAUUAAGAUAUUGUGUCCUACAUUACUCGGUAGUCAUUGUCAUAAUCGUUUGUAGCAGCCAUUCAUGCAAAAAUAAUUUAGAAAUCGAGCACCGAAUCAAUUUGGAAAUCAAACCAUUGAUGCAAUUAAUCAGCUA
Triticum dicoccoides is the source of this 3184-nucleotide long non-coding RNA. RefSeq lists it as uncharacterized. Lineage: Eukaryota; Viridiplantae; Streptophyta; Magnoliopsida; Poales; Poaceae. The record is from RefSeq and is a predicted model, not a curated record. The transcript has 9 exons.